GAAUUUGAAGCAAUUUUGCAUUUAGUUUCGACCUAACCUUAGACUUUAAAGUCCUAAUUCU
This 61-nucleotide transfer RNA is filed under the name Endopterygota sp. 25 LC-2017. Its description in RNAcentral is "tRNA-Arg". Lineage: Eukaryota; Metazoa; Arthropoda; Insecta. The record is from RNAcentral.